CCUACGGGAGGCAGCAGUGGGGAAUAUUGGACAAUGGGCGAAAGCCUGAUCCAGCCAUGCCGCGUGUGUGAAGAAGGCCUUCGGGUUGUAAAGCACUUUCAGUGGGGAAGAAAGCCUUGGGGCUAAUACCCUCGAGGAAGGACAUCACCCACAGAAGAAGCACCGGCUAACUCCGUGCCAGCAGCCGCGGUAAUACGGAGGGUGCGAGCGUUAAUCGGAAUUACUGGGCGUAAAGCGCGCGUAGGCGGUCUGAUAAGCCGGUAGUGAAAGCCCCGGGCUCAACCUGGGAACGGCAUCCGGAACUGUCAGGCUAGAGUGCAGGAGAGGAAGGUAGAAUUCCCGGUGUAGCGGUGAAAUGCGUAGAGAUCGGGAGGAAUACCAGUGGCGAAGGCGGCCUUCUGGACUGACACUGACGCUGAGGUGCGAAAGCGUGGGUAGCAAACAGGAUUAGAUACCCCGGUAGUC
Molecule: ribosomal RNA, 465 nt
Filed under: Vreelandella stevensii
Lineage: Bacteria; Pseudomonadati; Pseudomonadota; Gammaproteobacteria; Oceanospirillales; Halomonadaceae
Description: partial 16S ribosomal RNA
Rfam family: Bacterial small subunit ribosomal RNA
Source: RNAcentral